Molecule: non-coding RNA, 288 nt
Filed under: Brassica napus (rape)
Lineage: Eukaryota; Viridiplantae; Streptophyta; Magnoliopsida; Brassicales; Brassicaceae
Also listed under: 1 other name
Description: rRNA LSU_rRNA_eukarya
Rfam family: Eukaryotic large subunit ribosomal RNA
Source: Rfam by way of RNAcentral
CCCGCUGAGUUUAAGCAUAUCAAUAAGCGGAGGAAAAGAAACAAACAAGGAUUCCCUUAGUAACGGCGAGCGAACCCGGAAAAGCCAAGCUUAAAAAUCGGACGUCUGGUGUUCGAAUUGUAGUCUGGAGAAGUGUGGGAACCGAAAUUUGCACUGUCGAUUUCCGUUUAAAUAAGGAAACUAGGAAAACCCUAAUUUCCCAGAGGUCCCGGAUCUCUGCGAGAGCCAACGACAAGUGACCGAAUAUAUGCGGAAAUCAUGAAAAGAUAACAAACGAGUUUUGAGAAA